Tachysurus vachellii is the source of this 354-nucleotide non-coding RNA. Lineage: Eukaryota; Metazoa; Chordata; Actinopteri; Siluriformes; Bagridae. The record is from the annotation of a RefSeq genome assembly.
AUGUUCUCUACACUUCUACUCUUGCUGUUAACAGCUACAUCUGGUGUUCACAGUGUUGAGCUGAUCCAGACCGGAUCCACAGUAUUAACUCCUGGUCAGUCACUGACUCUGACCUGUAAAGCGUCUGGAUAUUCAUUAACUGAUAGCAGCUACUGUACACACUGGAUACGACAACCUGCAGGAAAAACUCUGGAAUGGAUCGGAGCGAUAUGUGGUGGUGGUGACACUUACUACAGUGAGAAACUGAAAAGCAGGUUUCAGGUUUCCAGAGACACGUCCAGCAGCACAGUGACACUGAGAGGACAGAAAAUGCAGACUGAAGACACAGCUGUGUAUUACUGCGCUCGUGAAGCU